RNAcentral lists this ribosomal RNA (254 nucleotides) under uncultured bacterium. RNAcentral describes it as "partial 16S ribosomal RNA". It matches the Rfam family "Bacterial small subunit ribosomal RNA", at positions 524 to 776 of the family's 1533-position model. The record is from RNAcentral.
UACAGAGGUCUCGAGCGUUGUUCGGAUUCAUUGGGCGUAAAGGGUGCGUAGGCGGUUUUGUAAGUCAGUGGUGAAAUACUCCAGCUUAACUGGAGGGGUGCCAAUGAUACUGCAGAACUUGAGUACAGAUGAGGUAGGCGGAAUUGACGGUGUAGCGGUGAAAUGCAUAGAUAUCGUCAAAGAACACCGAUAGCGAGGCAGCUUACUGGGCUGUAACUGACGCUGAGGCAACGAAAGUGUGGGGAUCAAACAGG